CGCUCGUCUUGUUAUUCCUGUAUCUAAACAAGAUUUUUUUUUUUUUGUUUGUUUCUCGGAAAUCAUUUACAUAGAUUUGGCCAUUGGGCGUGGUUUAAUUCGUUCAGGUGCCGUAAUUAUUUGUUACUUAUCUACAAAAUGGCUAAGAUGAUUCCUUCCUGUCUACUGAACGACCUGAAAUCAGAUUGCUCUAGAAUGGUGGAUACCAAACUGUUUUUUGUUUUUUCUCUGGGCCACAUUUUCGGAUUGAUAAGAAAUACCAAAUCCGAAAACUCCUGGAAAAUUCUACAUGUUUCUAUACUUAUCUUUACCAUAUUAUAUUUAGCAUAUAACAAAAUGAAUAAAAAUACUACUUUCAUAUUUUUAGCAGCUCCAAAAUU
RNAcentral lists this long non-coding RNA (380 nucleotides) under Androctonus crassicauda. The record is from RNAcentral. Lineage: Eukaryota; Metazoa; Arthropoda; Arachnida; Scorpiones; Buthidae.